GAUGAACGCUAGCUACAGGCUUAACACAUGCAAGUCGAGGGGAAACGGCAUCGAAAGCUUGCUUUUGAUGGGCGUCGACCGGCGCACGGGUGAGUAACGCGUAUCCAACCUGCCCAUCACUUGGGAAUAACCUUGCGAAAGUAAGACUAAUGCCCAAUGACAUCCCACGAAGGCAUCCGAAUGGGAUUAAAGAUUUAUCGGUGAUGGAUGGGGAUGCGUCUGAUUAGCUUGUUGGCGGGGUGACGGCCCACCAAGGCAACGAUCAGUAGGGGUUCUGAGAGGAAGGUCCCCCACAUUGGAACUGAGACACGGUCCAAACUCCUACGGGAGGCAGCAGUGAGGAAUAUUGGUCAAUGGGCGAGAGCCUGAACCAGCCAAGUAGCGUGCAGGAUGACGGCCCUAUGGGUUGUAAACUGCUUUUAUAAGGGAAUAAAGUGGGUCACGUGUGACUUUUGGCAUGGACCUUAUGAAUAAGGACCGGCUAAUUCCGU
Molecule: ribosomal RNA, 491 nt
Filed under: uncultured bacterium
Lineage: Bacteria
Description: partial 16S ribosomal RNA
Rfam family: Bacterial small subunit ribosomal RNA
Source: RNAcentral